This is a long non-coding RNA of Neopsephotus bourkii (Bourke's parrot), 3470 nucleotides long. RefSeq lists it as uncharacterized. The record is from RefSeq and is a predicted model, not a curated record. The transcript has 2 exons. Lineage: Eukaryota; Metazoa; Chordata; Aves; Psittaciformes; Psittacidae.
GACAAAGGAUCAGAACAGAGGGUAUUAAUUUGUAAUAUCCUAGUUUUAUUUCUUCAGAUGAAUAGUUUAGUCCUUAGAGAUUCAGUUCUGGAGCAAGUUAGGCCUUCAGAAAUCUUACAGUGGCCAGGAUUUAAGAGAAACUGAAGGACUGAAGCACUGUACAAGUAAGAAAUAAGUAUUUGAAGGUUUUGGCUUUCUUCUCUGUACUCAGUUAACAUCCAAAUGCUUAAGUUCCAAGUGUGAAAGAAGAGAGUACAUAGCUUAGCAACUCACAUAGGAACUAGCAAUAGGAAAGUCCAGCUGUACCAAAACUGUCUUUCUGAUCAUACUACUUGGCAUUCACUGUGGAGGGUUCAUAGUAACUUUCUCAGCCAGUGCAGUUCAUGGGAAGAGUGGUCAGCAGUCCACUACUGCUCAUGAUAAAUGAAGUAACAGUUCUGAAUUCCUUCUUUCUUGCUCGUUUGCUGUAGCUGAAAUUUAGCAAUAACAUUGUGUACAGUGGUAUUUGAACUUUGGCAUCUCUUACAUUAUUUCUAGUAAAUAAGACAUUCUGCUACACUUGGAUUUCUUCAAAUGGGAGAGCACAGUUGUUGCUUUAUCCUGUUGGUUAACAAUUUUUAUUUUGGUACUUGAAUUUUCUACUCAAUUUUUAAACACAUACUGAUAGCUUAGUGUCAGAUAUGUUACUAGAUAUCAUUAUCAGCUGAGUAGGGUACAGUUUCAUUGACUUUAAGAUGGAAAAUUAACAGUUCUGCCUUUCUCUGUGCCACCCCUUCCCAUGUGGCAGCACAAGCAUUUGUAUAAUCCAGCGUUCUUAGCAGCCUAGUUUUCAGGAAGCUUGCUACACUACCACACAACUGCUCAUGUUAGGUAAUGAGAAGAGGAACAAUGACUAUGAAAGAAGAUGUGUGCUAAGGUUUCUUCCGUAUUAGUAAGAGAUGAUGAAAUAAGUUUUAGACCACAAAUAAACUGUGGCCUUAGUGUGAAGGAUCAGUGUUCAUUCCUUUCACAGCUCCUUAGCCAAUACAAAAAAACUGUAGAGACUUAAUGAGUCUAUAUUUGGGGUAAGAAAUGGCUUUAGAGUUCAUGUCUACCAUGGUAGCAAAUCAUUAGCUAUACUUGAACAACAUUUGAUACUUGUAGUCCUCUGUAUGCUGCCUGCUGUGUGACAGCAGUUCAUUUUUUCCCUGUACCAUUUAAUCUGAGAAAGAAGAGUGGCUGCUGUCAGACUAAAGGAUGAAGUAUCAUCUUACUCUUCAUGUAGAAAAUAAUUCAGUUGUAGGCCAUGGAGACAAAUGGAGCCGAUUCAAUGGCAGUGCUUCUGCUUAUUUCAGACACUUAAUGAUGAACAUCUUCCUUACCUUGGAAUGGAUAUAAUUAAAAGCAUCUUUGACUUUAUUCCUCGAAUGCAUGGUGCUAAACCAGUUGUUGUGGUUGAAAGCUCUGAAUUCAGGGAAGCAGCAGGAAAGUCAAGUACUCGCAUAGGCUGGUUGUCCUGUUUUUCAGUGUGCCUGAUGUGCUGAGGAGCAGUUAAGAGUCUGUUCUCUUUCUUUCUUCAAAGGAAAGACAGUACCUACCUCAUAGGAGUGACACAAGGACUGUUCAGGAGCGUUUUGAUGUUACUUGAGACUUGCACAAUACACAUCCAUGGUGAGAGUAAGAAAGACAUAGUACUAGUGUAGCUUGAUGGUAAUUACAUAGAUUCAUGUUAUACCAGUUUAAUCCCCUCACUGAACAGAAUUCAGCAGCUUUAUGCCAGGACUUUUCUUAAACAGAGGAAUUGCAGUUCCAGAGGAGAGCAAGGCCAGAAAGAUCUCAGUUUCUGCAAGAGUUUAUAGGUGGGCUAAAUAACAGUCUUUUGACAUUUUUCCAUUUAUCUUUCAGUUUUCCCAGGGAUUCUUUUUAAUCAAGUGGUAUUUAUAUCAUUUAUGAUUGUUUGUGUUGAUACAAUCAACAGUCAGUUUGACUCUUUUGGAUGAUUAAGUUCAGAUGAUGUACUGCAGCUGAAGUGUUAACGUUUACUUUCUUACCUGCUGACUCAUGUUUAUAAGUGAGAUCAGAUCUCUUGGGGGGUAAAAAAAAAACGACUGCAGGUUUUUUUUUGUAAAGUAAACUUGAUUUUCUCCUUUUUUUUUAGCAUUGUGUAGGGGUGUUUUUUUGGUUUUUUUUUUUUUUUUUUUUUUUUUAAUAAAGCAUGAGAAUGGCACCAAAAAGCCUGAGUGGGAACUGGUGCUGUUGUCCUUACUAACCAACCUGUAGGAGCAAAUACGCAGAGUGAAAACAUACUGUUCUUAACAAGCUGCUUUGCCACAAGCCUAUUUGGAAUGGGAAUAACGAGGAAGUAUUCUGUGAUGUUUUGGACAAUGGGCUAAUAGUAAGAUUAGAAUUCUGUAAGAAUAAGGGGAGGGCCCUGGGAAAAUGGAAUCCUGAUCCAUUCAAACUGAACCAUAGUCCCCUGCAUUUCCAGAAAGAAUAACCUAUUGUUGAACUGUAAGCACCAUUUAAGAAUCUGUUAAGAUUCUUAAAGGCUGCUGAAGUAAAAGGUUAUAACAAACCUCAUUAGGUGUAUGCUGUUGUCUGACCAAGAGGGCACUCAUAUUCCAGGCAGUAAUACUGACAGUAGCAGUUCAAGCAGGUGUACUGCGUACAAGCAGAAGAAAGAACCACCCUGCCAGGACUUAGGAAGAUGCAGAUGCUUCAGCUUCGCUGCAAUUGCCCGGCCUCCAGAGCUGGACACACGACCCAGAUGAAUCUUUGGCUCACCGUCCCGUGAAAUGUGUUUCAUUUAUAGAAGAGUGCAUAUAAAUGCAGCUAAAGCAGCUCCGGCAAGCUAAAACCAAGGAUUUCUCUCUUUCUUUUGACACCUGCAUGUGGCUCUUGAAUACAUGGUGAAGAUUUCACGUCUAUACACAUUCAUCCAAAAAGAAAACUAUGCUGCAGAAACCUACUUAUUUUACACAGAAAAUGACUGGUACCACUGUGAAUCACCACACUGAGCUGGGAGGAUGCUCACUUGGGUGAUCACAGGGUUAAGAGAACCCUGACCCAAUGCCUGGGCAGGAAUAUCAGCACCAGAGCACUUCCCUGCUGGUUGCUACAUUAAGGAACUGCACCAAGAGAAAAGCACCAUUUCCGAGGGGCUUGACUACCAGGAAAUAUGGGGGUCAAAGUGAAUGUGCAUCUUCAAAGCACUGCGAUCAUCCCCAAUUCAAACUCAGUUCACCCUUAGGAAGAGCAACUGGGAUGCUGUCUGCACAGGCAAGCUCUGUGCGUUGUCCUCUAGCAAAGGCACCUCAAAGCAAGUUAGAACAAACCCACAAGAAGAGCCACGUCCAUUUUGUAACCUAUAAUUUUUAAAUAUAACAUUUUAUUGCUUAGAUGGUUUGAUACAGAACAAGUUUUACUUUUUAUUUUGAAUUUGGAAGUACUGUACAACUGAAUAAAAAGAGGAAUAGAAGUACCAAAACAAA